Molecule: ribosomal RNA, 253 nt
Filed under: uncultured bacterium
Lineage: Bacteria
Description: partial 16S ribosomal RNA
Rfam family: Bacterial small subunit ribosomal RNA
Source: RNAcentral
UACAGAGGUCCCAAGCGUUGUUCGGAUUCAUUGGGCGUAAAGGGCGCGUAGGCGGCCUUCUAAGUCAGACGUGAAAUCCCUCGGCUCAACCGGGGAACUGCGUCUGAGACUGGAAGGCUUGAAUCCGGGAGAGGGAUGUGGAAUUCCAGGUGUAGCGGUGAAAUGCGUAGAUAUCUGGAGGAACACCGGUGGCGAAGGCGGCAUCCUGGACCGGUAUUGACGCUGAGGCGCGAAAGCCAGGGGAGCAAACUGG